AGCGAACGCUGGCGGCAGGCCUAACACAUGCAAGUCGAACGAACUCUUCGGAGUUAGUGGCGGACGGGUGAGUAACACGUGGGAACGUGCCUUUUGGUUCGGAAUAACUCAGGGAAACUUGUGCUAAUACCGAAUGUGCCCUUCGGGGGAAAGAUUUAUCGCCAUUAGAGCGGCCCGCGUCUGAUUAGCUAGUUGGUGAGGUAACGGCUCACCAAGGCGACGAUCAGUAGCUGGUCUGAGAGGAUGACCAGCCACACUGGGACUGAGACACGGCCCAGACUCCUACGGGAGGCAGCAGUGGGGAAUCUUGCGCAAUGGGCGAAAGCCUGACGCAGCCAUGCCGCGUGAAUGAUGAAGGUCUUAGGAUUGUAGAAUUCUUUCACCGGGGACGAUAAUGACGGUACCCGGAGAAGAAGCCCCGGCUAACUUCGUG
RNAcentral lists this ribosomal RNA (433 nucleotides) under uncultured bacterium. RNAcentral's name for it is "partial 16S ribosomal RNA". It matches the Rfam family "Bacterial small subunit ribosomal RNA", at positions 29 to 507 of the family's 1533-position model. The record is from RNAcentral.